CCUACCUGGCAGCCAAUGGGAGCCUCCCAAUUUUAAAUUAGCGCUCACGCGCCAAUUCAAGGUCUCCCUUGCAAAAAAAAUAAAUAAAUAACGGUCUCAACCAGUAUCAACAAGGAAAGGAGAAGAAGGAGAAGACAUAUCCUAGCUAAAAUUGAAUUUUCAGCAUUAGAUACCACAAUGCCAUUUGCCAUUUAUUAUUUCAAGGACAAGACUGUGGAAGUUGGGAAGAUUUUAUGGAUGAGUACUGACGACCAGCAACAAUGUCCAAAAGUAAUCACUCAGUGCCCUGAUCUAGAAGAAGAAGACGGAUGGAUGGAGAUAAAGUGGGACAUAAAAGGCAGAAAAAAGUCAGCUCCAGCCUUUUUCCCAGCAAAGGUUUUGAUGGUUGGUGAAGAGAAAGAAGUCAUCGUGUGCUGAAAAAGAGUGAUGAUAGAAGAGCUGAAGAAGCAGCUGGCAAACAAAAUAUCUUCAGAGUCAACUAACUCAAAUGAGGAGUCAUCAGAUGAGGAGCAGCUGCCCAGAAACUGGAGUGGAGCACAGAAGAAAGUGAAAGAGCUUCAGAGAGAUAUCGAGAGCCUGAAAGCAGACUAUGGGAAAGAGAUACUAGAUGCUAUGAGAGAGCUUCCAGCAGUAGUGACAACGCUGAAAGAGAUCUUAGAAAAAAAUCACUGUUCUCAACUCAAGAUCUCAACUCCUGCUUCCACCUGGUCAACACCCAC
Molecule: long non-coding RNA, 719 nt
Organism: Archocentrus centrarchus (flier cichlid)
Lineage: Eukaryota; Metazoa; Chordata; Actinopteri; Cichliformes; Cichlidae
Exons: 4
Source: RefSeq, a predicted model, not a curated record